UCCUGGCUUAGGACGAACGCUGGCGGCGUGCUUCAUACAUGCAAGUCGAACGAGAAACUGGCUCGGUCAGUGGAAAGUGGCGGACGGGUGAGUAAUAUGUAGAGAAUCUGCCCUAGAGAGAGGGACAACAGUUGGAAACGACUGCUAAUACCUCAUAUGCGCGUAGCUGAAAUGCUAUUCGUGAAAACUCCGGUGCUCUGGGAUGAGUCUGCAUCUGAUUAGCUUGUUGGCGGUGUAAUGGACCACCAAGGCGACGAUCAGUAGCUGGUUUGAGAGGAUGAUCAGCCACAAUGGGACUGAGACACGGCCCAUACUCCUACGGGAGGCAGCAGUGGGGAAUAUUGGGCAAUGGGAGGAAAAUCCUGACCCAGCGACGCCGCGUGAACGAAGACGGCCUUAGGGUUGUAAAGUUCUUUUAUGUGGGAAGAAGGAAGUGACGGUACCACAUGAAUAAGCCCCGGCUAACUACGUGCCAGCCGCCGC
This 483-nucleotide ribosomal RNA is filed under the name uncultured bacterium. RNAcentral describes it as "bacterial SSU rRNA". It matches the Rfam family "Bacterial small subunit ribosomal RNA", at positions 17 to 518 of the family's 1533-position model. The record is from RNAcentral.